RNAcentral lists this ribosomal RNA (444 nucleotides) under uncultured bacterium. RNAcentral describes it as "bacterial SSU rRNA". It matches the Rfam family "Bacterial small subunit ribosomal RNA", at positions 330 to 792 of the family's 1533-position model. The record is from RNAcentral.
UCCAGACUCCUACGGGAGGCAGCAGUGGGGGAUAUUGCACAAUGGGGGAAACCCUGAUGCAGCAACGCCGCGUGAGUGAAGAAGGUCUUCGGAUUGUAAAGCUCUGUUCUUGGUGAAGAUAAUGACGGUAGCCAAGGAGAAAGCUCCGGCUAACUACGUGCCAGCAGCCGCGGUAAUACGUAGGGAGCGAGCGUUGUCCGGAAUUACUGGGUGUAAAGGGAGCGUAGGCGGGCGAGAAAGUUGAAUGUUAAAUCUACCGGCUUAACUGGUAGCUGCGUUCAAAACUUCUUGUCUUGAGUGAAGUAGAGGCAGGCGGAAUUCCUAGUGUAGCGGUGAAAUGCGUAGAUAUUAGGAGGAACACCAGUGGCGAAGGCGGCCUGCUGGGCUUUAACUGACGCUGAGGCUCGAAAGCGUGGGGAGCAAACAGGAUUAGAUACCCCCGUA